RNAcentral lists this unclassified non-coding RNA (253 nucleotides) under uncultured Bacteroidota bacterium. RNAcentral's name for it is "uncultured Bacteroidetes bacterium contains 16S-23S intergenic spacer region". It matches the Rfam family "Bacterial small subunit ribosomal RNA", at positions 524 to 776 of the family's 1533-position model. Lineage: Bacteria; Pseudomonadati; Bacteroidota. The record is from RNAcentral.
UACGGAGGGUGCAAGCGUUGUCCGGAAUCACUGGGUGUAAAGGGUGUGUAGGCGGGACUGUAAGUCAGUGGUGAAAGCCUACGGCUUAACCGUAGAAUUGCCUCUGAUACUGCAGUUCUUGAGUCCCGGAGAGGUCACUGGAAUUCGUGGUGUAGCGGUGAAAUGCGUAGAUAUCACGAGGAACACCAGAGGUGUAGACGGGUGACUGGACGGCGACUGACGCUGAGGCACGAAAGCGUGGGGAGCGAACAGG